CUCUUGACCUGCUCAAAUUUGGUUUCGUAUCUUCCAUUUCAUAGAAUAGACAAUCCCUUCUCCGCCCCUGCUAUUGUGUGUAACCCAAAAAUCUCGAUUCAAUAUAGGCCACUUUAGAGACCAAUUCACCCCUCAUUAUCCUUAUUCUACGUUGUCUCCUCGCCCUAAAUUCAAGUUAACUUGAGUUUCUCAAGUUUCGGUCAAAAGAGGAAGGUCGAUUUAGAAGACUGCAUUCACAUCUCUCUCCGUCUUUGUUGUAAUAUUGUCCUCGUUUAGAGCCCAAACCAUCAGAUCUCUUCUGGGUUGAUGGAGGGAGGUAUUUCUUUUGCCAUGACAAACUAAUAAACCUGGAAUAACGAUGUUGUCUAUUUCCCCUUAAUUGGAUUCCCUCUGUUACCAUUUUUUGUCGAAUUCACAAAUUGAUUUGACAUUGAUUGCUGAAAAUAACAAAAUACUUGCAUCGGAAGUUAUAUACAGUGAUAUUUGACUUGGCAUCCUUUACUCGAAUGCCCUUUGAAGGUUUGUUUCAGUGAAUUCGCAUUGAAGUAUUGAUCCUGUGAAUGAGGUCUAUGAUUUAUUCUGUAUGUUGCAUUGAAGUAUACUUUUUAGUAGAUAAUAUUUCUACAAUUUGAAUAAGUUGAAAUCUUAAUAUUCUUGCGAUUUCGAUUGAGCAUUGGCAAGAAGUAGAAACACACAUGCGGCCAUCAUUUUACACUAUCGUACGAAGCGAUAGCGUACCGCAUAACCUAAGCAGUCUAUGUGCAUGUCAUGAUGUGGUAUGGCUGCUACCACGCAACAAUUGUGGUUUAAGUUACCUACUAGAUUUGAAAAAGUGACUAAAACCAUAAGGACCCGUUCGGUCUAUAGGUAAUAACCAUUUAAGAAAUGGUACCUACAUAUACAGUUGUUCGGUCCCUCAGAAACUCUAUCUGCAAGGCCCGCCUAGGCCCGAUGAAUAUAGCUGUAACGGAGUGUUUAUUAAUCUCAAAAAAAAGCCGCAAUACCAUUUCUCACUUUGAACAACAUUCUGAAUCAACCUCCAAUUACUUCUCUACCCCCUUCGUACAAUCAAUAUGCCCUUCUCCAAAUUUGGGGAACAUUGCAAGGCGCAAGAGCUCGAAGACGAAAACACUGAAUUCGUCGCCUGACUAGCUACAAACUGCAAUCGCACUCGAAAUCCAACGGUGUGUACGAAGGUCGUACUUCGAUUUGUGACUGCAAUCCGACUACAAACUGCAAUCGCACUUCGCACUCGAAACCCAGCAGGUCGAUCGUUGUCGAUCCGGUGUGAAAGAUUAUCAUAACUUGGACAUUGAGGAGUCCAUUGAGACUUGCCCCAUCUUCAGGCAUCCGGGGACUAGUGGGGCAGCAAACCACAAACCUGCUACUCGUCCAUCUGCACGUGUGAAGAAAUUCAAUCCAGCCGAAUCACCGCAUGGGAGCUCGUGCGGCUCGACGAGCCCAGCCAACUGGUGGAGGAAUAAUAUGAAGUGACUGUGUUUGGUAGGAUGCGUAAUGUUGCCUACAUAUGAGGUGGGAGAUGGUAUCAUUGUUCUAGUUUCGUAGUAUUUAUUGCUGUGUGUUGUGGUUUGCUUUAUCAACAUCGUUAGGAGCGUAGUACCUGGACUAUGUAUGGUUGUCUCUGUGAUGGACUUUCCUUCAAUGUAAGUUGUAGUAAGGUUGUGUACUAUCAUGUGAAAAUGAACUUAAGUAAGCUUCAUUGCUUACUUAAGUAAGGUGUGUACUAUCAUGUGAAAAUGAACUUAAGUAAGCUUCAUUUUAUCCUCAUUAAA
Long non-coding RNA from Salvia splendens (bonfire salvia), 1793 nucleotides. RefSeq lists it as uncharacterized. NCBI's taxonomy places the organism in Eukaryota, Viridiplantae, Streptophyta, Magnoliopsida, Lamiales, Lamiaceae. The transcript is spliced from 2 exons. The record is from RefSeq and is a predicted model, not a curated record.